AAGGUCCUCUCCUGGAUCAGUAACUGGUUAAAGAUACAAAACAAAGGGUAGGAAUAAAUAGUCAGUUUUCAGAAUGGAGAGAGGUAAGUAGUGGUGUCCACCAGGGGUCCGUACUGGGAUGAGUACUGUUCAACGUAUUCAUAAACGAUCUGGAA
Molecule: long non-coding RNA, 155 nt
Organism: Chelonia mydas (Green sea turtle)
Lineage: Eukaryota; Metazoa; Chordata; Testudines; Cheloniidae
Exons: 2
Source: RefSeq, a predicted model, not a curated record